UCGCCUGUUUAACAAAAACAUGUCUUUUUGAAAUUUUUUUAAAGUCUAGCCUGCCCACUGAGUAAUUUUAAAUGGCCGCAGUAUACUAACUGUGCAAAGGUAGCAUAAUCAUUAGUCUUUUAAUUGAAGGCUGGUAUGAAUGGUUGGACGAGAUAUUAACUGUUUCAUAGAAAUUUAUAAUAGAAUUUUAUUUUUUAGUCAAAAAGCUAAAAUAUAAUUAAAAGACGAGAAGACCCUAUAAAUCUUUAUAUAUAGAUUAUUAGAAUUUCAUAGAUUUUUUUUGUUAUAAUAAUUAAUUGUAUUUUAUUGGGGUGAUAUUAAAAUUUAAUAAACUUUUAAUUUUAAAAAUCAUUAAUUUAUGAGUAAUUGAUCCGUUAUUAACGAUUAAAAAAAUAAGUUACUUUAGGGAUAACAGCGUAAUUUUUUUGGAGAGUUCAUAUCGAUAAAAAAGAUUGCGACCUCGAUGUUGGAUUAAGAUAUAGUUUUAGGUGUAGCCGCUUAAAUUUUAAGUCUGUUCGACUUUUAAAUUCUUACGUGAUCUGAGUUCAGACCGGA
Molecule: ribosomal RNA, 555 nt
Filed under: Sarcophaga peregrina
Lineage: Eukaryota; Metazoa; Arthropoda; Insecta; Diptera; Sarcophagidae
Description: partial 16S ribosomal RNA
Rfam family: Bacterial large subunit ribosomal RNA
Source: RNAcentral